GACGAACGCUGGCGGCGUGCCUAAUACAUGCAAGUUGAGCGAUGAAGAUUGGUGCUUGCACCAAUUUGAAGAGCAGCGAACGGGGGAGUAACGCGUGGGGAAUCUGCCUUUGAGCGGGGGACAACAUUUGGAAACGAAUGCUAAUACCGCAUAACAACUUUAAACAUAAGUUUUAAGUUUGAAAGAUGGAAUUGCAUCACUCAAAGAUGAUCCCGCGUUGUAUUAGCUAGUUGGUGAGGUAAAGGCUCACCAAGGCGAUGAUACAUAGCCGACCUGAGAGGGUGAUCGGCCACAUUGGGACUGAGACACGGCCCAAACUCCUACGGGAGGCAGCAGUAGGGAAUCUUCGGCAAUGGACGAAAGUCUGACCGAGCAACGCCGCGUGAGUGAAGAAGGUUUUCGGAUCGUAAAACUCUGUUGGUAGAGAAGAACGUUGGUGAGAGUGGAAAGCUCAUCAAGUGACGGUAACUACCCAGAAAGGGACGGCUAACUACGUG
This 497-nucleotide ribosomal RNA is filed under the name uncultured bacterium. RNAcentral describes it as "partial 16S ribosomal RNA". It matches the Rfam family "Bacterial small subunit ribosomal RNA", at positions 28 to 507 of the family's 1533-position model. The record is from RNAcentral.